This 489-nucleotide ribosomal RNA is filed under the name uncultured bacterium. Its description in RNAcentral is "bacterial SSU rRNA". It matches the Rfam family "Bacterial small subunit ribosomal RNA", at positions 40 to 507 of the family's 1533-position model. The record is from RNAcentral.
CGGCGUGCUUAACACAUGCAAGUCGAACGGAGCAUUUGCGACGGAUUCUUUCGGGAUGAAGAUGCUUAUGACUGAGUGGCGGACGGGUGAGUAACGCGUGGGUAACCUGCCUUAUACAGGGGGAUAGCAGUUGGAAACGACUGGUAAUACCGCAUAAGCGCACGGUACCGCAUGGUACAGUGUGAAAAACUCCGGUGGUAUGGGAUGGAUCCGCGUCUGAUUAGCCAGUUGGCGGGGUAACGGCCCACCAAGGCUACGAUCAGUAGGGGUUCUGAGAGGAAGGUCCCCCACAUUGGAACUGAGACACGGUCCAAACUCCUACGGGAGGCAGCAGUGAGGAAUAUUGGUCAAUGGGCGAGAGCCUGAACCAGCCAAGUAGCGUGCAGGAUGACGGCCCUAUGGGUUGUAAACUGCUUUUAUAAGGGAAUAAAGUGAGCCUCGUGAGGCUUUUUGCAUGUACCUUAUGAAUAAGGACCGGCUAAUUCCGUG